AGAUACGUGGCCUUCCUGGAGCUGUUCCUGCAGACGGCGGAGAAGCACUUCAUGGUGGGACACAGGGUCACCUGCUACGUGUUCACCGACCGGCCGGGGGAUGUGCCCCGCGUGCCCCUCGGGGAAGGGAGGCAGGUGGGGGUCCUGGAGGUCCGGAGCUACUCGCGCCGGCAGGACGUGUCCGUGCACCGCGUGGAGAUGAUCCGCAACUUCUCCCGGCGGCGCUUCCUCCACGAGGUGGACCCUCCGGUGUGCGCGGACGUGGACGUGAGGUUCCGCGACCGCGUGGGCGUGGCGAUCCUGUCCCCGCUCUUCGGCACCCUGCACCCCGGCUUCUACGGGGCGGCCCGCGAGGCCUUCACCUACGAGCGCCGGCCGCAGUCCCAGGCACACGUCCCCAGGGACGAGGGCGAGUUGUACUACGCGGGAGGCUUUUUCGGGGGGUCGGUGGCCGAGGCUCUGCGGCUCACGUCGGCCUGUCACCAGGCCACGGUGGUCGACCGGGCCCACGGCAUCGAGGCGGUGUGGCACGACGAGAGCCACCUGAACAGGUACCUGCUGGACCACAAGCCCACCAAGGUGCUGUCCCCCGAGUACCUGUGGGACGAACAACUGCUGGGCUGGCCCGCCGUCGUGAAGAAGCUGAGGUAUGUGACCGUGCCCAAGAGUCACCGGGGCAUCCGGGACUGAUGA
Molecule: long non-coding RNA, 693 nt
Filed under: Lynx pardinus (Iberian lynx)
Lineage: Eukaryota; Metazoa; Chordata; Mammalia; Carnivora; Felidae
Source: RNAcentral